CCUGCGGAGGGAUCAUUACAGAGUUAUCUAAACUCCAAACCCAUGUGGAAUAACCAAGUUGCCUCGGCGGGAGAGCCUACCCUGUAGCUACCCGGGAGCCAGCUACCCUGUAGCUGGCUACUCUGGAGAGGCCUACCCGGUAGCCCCCCGCCGGUGGACUAUUAAACUCUUUUUGUCUUUGGCACUUCUGAGUAUGUCAUACAAAUAAGUUAAAACUUUCAACAACGGAUCUCUUGGUUCUGGCAUCGAUGAAGAACGCAGCGAAAUGCGAUAAGUAAUGUGAAUUGCAGAAUUCAGUGAAUCAUCGAAUCUUUGAACGCACAUUGCGCCCGCUAGUAUUCUGGCGGGCAUGCCUGUUCGAGCGUCAUUUCGACCCUUAAGCCUAGUUGCUUAGCGUUGGGGGCUUCAGUUAUCCUGAACCUCUGAAAUCUAGUGGCGGAGUUGUUGCACACUCUGAGCGUAGUAGAUUUAUCUCGCUUUUGUAGUUGCCUCGACCUCGGCCGUUAAACCCCCUAUUUUAGAAAGUUGACC
This 531-nucleotide ribosomal RNA is filed under the name Xylariales sp. ZJLQ492. RNAcentral's name for it is "eukaryotic LSU rRNA". The stretch from base 214 to 367 matches the Rfam family "5.8S ribosomal RNA". The record is from RNAcentral. Lineage: Eukaryota; Fungi; Ascomycota; Sordariomycetes; Xylariales.